Molecule: ribosomal RNA, 459 nt
Filed under: uncultured Anoxybacillus sp.
Lineage: Bacteria; Bacillati; Bacillota; Bacilli; Caryophanales; Anoxybacillaceae
Description: bacterial SSU rRNA
Rfam family: Bacterial small subunit ribosomal RNA
Source: RNAcentral
CACAAGCGGUGGAGCAUGUGGUUUAAUUCGAAGCAACACGAAGAACCUUACCAGGUCUUGACAUCCCCUGACAACCCGAGAGAUCGGGCGUUCCCCUUCGGGGGACAGGGUGACAGGUGGUGCAUGGUUGUCGUCAGCUCGUGUCGUGAGAUGUUGGGUUAAGUCCCGCAACGAGCGCAACCCUCGACCUUAGUUGCCAGCAUUCAGUUGGGCACUCUAAGGUGACUGCCGGCUAAAAGUCGGAGGAAGUGGGGAUGACGUCAAAUCAUCAUGCCCCUUAUGACCUGGGCUACACACGUGCUACAAUGGGCGGUACAAAGGGUCGCGAACCCGCGAGGGGGAGCCAAUCCCAAAAAGCCGCUCUCAGUUCGGAUUGCAGGCUGCAACUCGCCUGCAUGAAGCCGGAAUCGCUAGUAAUCGCGGAUCAGCAUGCCGCGGUCGAAUACGUUCCCGGGCCUU